AUUUGUCAUGAGGUUUUCGGCGUUCUAAACCAGAAGAAAGAAAAUUAUUUGUUUCUAAAAAGAUGAGAAUACUUUAGAGACCCCUGGUGCAUACCUCCUUAAAUGCCAGACAACAAUGCAGAGUGGAGAGUACUUACAACCAGCACUUUGAGAUUGCAAUUCAGAUCAGUCAGCAACCAAAUAUUUGUUAUCAAACACUACAAGUGCAUUAGUUUUUCAAAACAAUGUAAUAUAGUGAGAAUCUCAGAAGAACACUACUACAUACAUUCUUUCGUUUUUUGUAAGUGCUCUAAAUACAUGAGAAAUUACGACCGGCUGCUUAGAAUAUUAAUAACUGACCGAACGAAUGGCGAUGAGUGGACACUCGUUGAUUAAUAUGUGGCCUCAA
Molecule: long non-coding RNA, 388 nt
Organism: Bactrocera tryoni
Lineage: Eukaryota; Metazoa; Arthropoda; Insecta; Diptera; Tephritidae
Exons: 3
Source: RefSeq, a predicted model, not a curated record